This is a non-coding RNA of Ictidomys tridecemlineatus (thirteen-lined ground squirrel), 747 nucleotides long. The record is from RefSeq and is a predicted model, not a curated record. Lineage: Eukaryota; Metazoa; Chordata; Mammalia; Rodentia; Sciuridae.
UAUGCCAAUCUAUGUUAUAAUGGCAUAUGUUUCUUACUUCGUAUCAGGCCAGAAGUUUGAAACUUUCAAAGCUGUACAUUCGGUGUGUUUAUGGCAUCCAUUCCCCGCAGCAGAUUGAAGGUUUGUAGCAGCCCUGCAUCAAGGAGUUAACACUACUUUCCAAACAGCUGAGAUGAUGAUUAGCCUUUUUUACCAAUAAUGAAUUUUUAAAUUAAGUGGUCUGGAGCAACCGACAAUACUCUGAAGUAUGCCUAUACAUUCAAUUAAUACUAGUCUGAAUUGAGACUGGAAAUUUAAGUAAGUCAUCCAUGGAAAGGUAAAGAAAAAAAGCAUUCCAGGAAAAAGGCAUAGCUUGUGAAAAGUCAUAGAAUAAUGGAUGGCACGUGCUAUUUUCUUUUUUUUUUAAUGAGUUUUUUUUUUCAUGUUUAUGUUAUUUAUUUAUAUGCGGUGCUGAGGAUCAAACCCAGGGCCUGACACAUGAUAGGGGAGUGUUCUACCACUGAGCCACAAGCCCAGCCCCACACAUGCCCUUUUCAAGAAACUUCCAGCUAUUCUCUAAGGUGAGAGCAGAAGACACACGUUUUGCACAAUCAACACUUGAGAACCAAUCGGAGUGACUUGUUGCUAGAUUUGUUAUUGUCUUUCUCAUGUUUUGUUUAAAACCAACCAACAAAAUUAAUAAACAUAAAACCAACCUUUGUUGUGAUCCCAAGUUCCCUCUUAUUCUUCUCUUCAUGCUGGGUUGGU